UACGUAGGGGGCAAGCGUUGUCCGGAUUUAUUGGGCGUAAAGAGCGUGUAGGCGGUCCGGUAAGUCAGCUGUGAAAGUCAAGGGCUCAACCCUUGAAUGCCGGUUGAUACUGUCGGGCUAGAGUCCGGAAGAGGCGAGUGGAAUUCCCGGUGUAGCGGUGAAAUGCGCAGAUAUCAGGAAGAACACCCGUGGCGAAGGCGGCUCUCUGGAACGCAACUGACGCUGAGACGCGAAAGCGUGGGGAGCGAACAGG
RNAcentral lists this ribosomal RNA (253 nucleotides) under uncultured bacterium. RNAcentral describes it as "partial 16S ribosomal RNA". It matches the Rfam family "Bacterial small subunit ribosomal RNA", at positions 524 to 776 of the family's 1533-position model. The record is from RNAcentral.